This 766-nucleotide ribosomal RNA is filed under the name Enterococcus faecium. RNAcentral's name for it is "bacterial SSU rRNA". It matches the Rfam family "Bacterial small subunit ribosomal RNA", at positions 49 to 787 of the family's 1533-position model. Lineage: Bacteria; Bacillati; Bacillota; Bacilli; Lactobacillales; Enterococcaceae. The record is from RNAcentral.
CUAUACAUGCAGUCGAACGCUUCUUUUUCCACCGGAGCUUGCUCCACCGGAAAAAGAAGAGUGGCGAACGGGUGAGUAACACGUGGGUAACCUGCCCAUCAGAAGGGGAUAACACUUGGAAACAGGUGCUAAUACCGUAUAACAAUCAAAACCGCAUGGUUUUGAUUUGAAAGGCGCUUUCGGGUGUCGCUGAUGGAUGGACCCGCGGUGCAUUAGCUAGUUGGUGAGGUAACGGCUCACCAAGGCCACGAUGCAUAGCCGACCUGAGAGGGUGAUCGGCCACAUUGGGACUGAGACACGGCCCAAACUCCUACGGGAGGCAGCAGUAGGGAAUCUUCGGCAAUGGACGAAAGUCUGACCGAGCAACGCCGCGUGAGUGAAGAAGGUUUUCGGAUCGUAAAACUCUGUUGUUAGAGAAGAACAAGGAUGAGAGUAACUGUUCAUCCCUUGACGGUAUCUAACCAGAAAGCCACGGCUAACUACGUGCCAGCAGCCGCGGUAAUACGUAGGUGGCAAGCGUUGUCCGGAUUUAUUGGGCGUAAAGCGAGCGCAGGCGGUUUCUUAAGUCUGAUGUGAAAGCCCCCGGCUCAACCGGGGAGGGUCAUUGGAAACUGGGAGACUUGAGUGCAGAAGAGGAGAGUGGAAUUCCAUGUGUAGCGGUGAAAUGCGUAGAUAUAUGGAGGAACACCAGUGGCGAAGGCGGCUCUCUGGUCUGUAACUGACGCUGAGGCUCGAAAGCGUGGGGAGCAAACAGGAUUAGAUACCC